This is a non-coding RNA of Paramuricea clavata, 486 nucleotides long. NCBI's taxonomy places the organism in Eukaryota, Metazoa, Cnidaria, Anthozoa, Malacalcyonacea, Plexauridae. The record is from the annotation of a GenBank genome assembly.
GCCGGGAAGACUGUUUAGUGUUAAAUAAUGUUAGAAACAAUGAAAAUUUUCACCAUGCUGCUUACAAACAAUAUGUACUCUGGCAACAUGAAAAGAUAAGGAAGUGGGAACAGGAGAAUGAUUCCAAGCUGUUGUGUUACGGCAAUACGGAAACGAUAUCCUUCUCCAAAUGGGAUAUACUCUGCUAGAUUGUAAAUAUUUGUUGCACAUGUUGUUAUUAUGUUAUUGAUCAUUGAGGAAAACAUUAUUUCACUAAACCAUUUUACUGCAAUUAUCUCCCCGUGACAGGGAGGAUCAUUUUAAAUAUUUUGAAAGAACUUGGGUAAUUCCCGCCUGCAUGCAUGUUAAUAAGACCCAUUCACACAAGCGAUUUUAAACUGUGAUUUUCUCCUUUUGGGAUACAGUAUGUGAUUUAGCAAAAUUACAGGAAAUAUUACUUUGCAUGGCUUAGCUCGUAUAUUCGUUGUGAUAUUCACUCAAACACAU